GACGAACGCUGGCGGCGUGCUUAACACAUGCAAGUCGAACGGAGUGGCGAACGGGUGAGUAACACGUGGGUGACCUGCACUGCACUUCGGGAUAAGCCUGGGAAACUGGGUCUAAUACCGGAUAGUGUGGGAUGGGCACGCGGCCUAUCAGCUUGUUGGGGGGGUAAUGGCCUACCAAGGCGGCGACGGGUAGCCGGCCUGAGAGGGUGGACGGCCACAGUGGGACUGAGAGACGGCCCAGAGUCGUACGGGAGGCAGCAGUGGGGAAUAGUGCACAAUGUGCGGAAGCCGGAUGCAGCGACGCGGCGUUGGGGAUGACGGCCUUCGGGUUGUAAACUCCGUACACCAUCAACGAGGUAGAUGGAGAAGAAGCACCGACUAACUACGUGCCAGCCGCCGCGGUAAUUC
Molecule: ribosomal RNA, 408 nt
Filed under: uncultured bacterium
Lineage: Bacteria
Description: partial 16S ribosomal RNA
Rfam family: Bacterial small subunit ribosomal RNA
Source: RNAcentral